GACGAACGCUGGCGGCGUGCUUAACACAUGCAAGUCGAGCGGUAAGGCCCUUUCGGGGGUACACGAGCGGCGAACGGGUGAGUAACACGUGGGUGACCUGCCCUCAGCUCUGGGAUAAGCCUGGGAAACCGGGUCUAAUACUGGAUAUGACUCCAUGACGCAUGUUGUGGGGUGGAAAGCCUUGUGCGGCUGAGGAUGGGCCCGCGGCCUAUCAGCUUGUUGGUGGGGUGAUGGCCUACCAAGGCGACGACGGGUAGCCGGCCUGAGAGGGCGACCGGCCACACUGGGACUGAGACACGGCCCAGACUCCUACGGGAGGCAGCAGUGGGGAAUCUUGCGCAAUGGGCGAAAGCCUGACGCAGCGACGCCGCGUGAGGGACGACGGCCUCGGUUGUAA
Molecule: ribosomal RNA, 397 nt
Filed under: uncultured bacterium
Lineage: Bacteria
Description: bacterial SSU rRNA
Rfam family: Bacterial small subunit ribosomal RNA
Source: RNAcentral